AGUGAACGCUGGCGGUAGGCCUAACACAUGCAGGUCGAACGGCAGCACAGUAAGAGCUUGCUCUUACGGGUGGCGAGUGGCGGACGGGUGAGGAAUACAUCGGAAUCUACUUUUUCGUGGGGGAUAACGUAGGGAAACUUACGCUAAUACCGCAUACGACCCACGGGUGAAAGCAGGGGAUCUUCGGACCUUGCGCGAUUGAAUGAGCCGAUGUCGGAUUAGCUAGUUGGCGGGGUAAAGGCCCACCAAGGCGACGAUCCGUAGCUGGUCUGAGAGGAUGAUCAGCCACACUGGAACUGAGACACGGUCCAGACUCCUACGGGAGGCAGCAGUGGGGAAUAUUGGACAAUGGGCGCAAGCCUGAUCCAGCCAUACCGCGUGGGUGAAGAAGGCCUUCGGGUUGUAAAGCCCUUUUGUUGGGAAAGAAAAGCAGCAGGUUAAUACCCCGCUGUUCUGACGGUACCCAAAGAAUAAGCACCGGCUAACUUCGUG
Molecule: ribosomal RNA, 492 nt
Filed under: uncultured bacterium
Lineage: Bacteria
Description: partial 16S ribosomal RNA
Rfam family: Bacterial small subunit ribosomal RNA
Source: RNAcentral